UCUUUCUAGGAACACUUUCCAGUACCCCUACUUUGUUACGACUUAUUUCAAUUUUUAAAUGAAAGUGACGGGCAAUAUGUACAUAUUUCAAUUAUAAAUCAUUUUAAAAAACUAUUUAAAAUUACAUUUAAAUCCACCUUCAAAUAAAUAUUUCAAAAUUAUUAUCUGUUUAUAUAAAUAUAUUGUAAUCCAUCUUAAAUUUAAUUAUAAUCUACAUCUUGAUCUGAAUUAAUUUUAAAUUAAAAUUUUAAAAUAUUAUUUUUAUUUAAAAAUAUUUUUUUAACAACGAUAUAUAAAAUUUUAAAUUAAAUACAAUUAUUCGUGGAAUAUCAAUUACUAGACAGAUUCCUCUAAAUGAACUAAAAUACCGCCAAAUUAUUUAAGUUUCAAUAAAUAAUUACAUACUAUUUUAGUAAUUUAAAUUAAUUUUUU
Molecule: ribosomal RNA, 432 nt
Filed under: Pontia protodice (checkered white)
Lineage: Eukaryota; Metazoa; Arthropoda; Insecta; Lepidoptera; Pieridae
Description: partial small subunit ribosomal RNA
Source: RNAcentral